GGUCGCGCGAGCUCUCUCGACCGACACCCCCACCACCGCCAGCGCAGGAGGGGGCUGGAGGGCUGGAAGCGUCCCGGGCCCGAGGCCGGUUUUGUGGCCUCACCUCGGGACGGGUACCCAGGUAGCUGGAGAGCCAAGAAGUCUGUCCCUCCCGCUUCCAGUGGACGACCCUCAGACCCUGUCAGAAAAGUUGUCUCGGUUGCCUGGCCUCAGGUGUCUCCCCAGGUUUGCCUUAGUUACCUGGCGCCCCAGCCUUGACCGGAAAGAGCGCGGAAGGGAGAGACAAGAAACUGAGUCCUAAUGAAACUGGCCCAAUACCCCGCCGGUAGUAAAUGGCAGAGUCGAGAUUUCAACCCAUACCACCAACUAACUACAGGACUGUAUUCUCCUGUGGGCUUGAAUACCCUCCAUGAGAAGUCAGCUAUUGAAGGUGGAAUUGAUUUUUGGAAACAGCCUAACGCACCAGAACCAGUUCAGCAGCAAAGAGGCGGAUGGAGGCCUCAGCAAAGCAGCCAACAGAGGACCACAGGGAGUAAAGCUGCCGUAUCUGAGCCACAUGCUGCCGCACAGCCUCCUGCAAAUGUAAUAUGCUGCUGCGCUGUUCCUCAGGAUUGCUAGAGAUCUCAAGCUGGAACCUCACCCGCUGCUUCUUCUCACUGUGCUCCUGAAUGAAUGGAAAAGGAAAUGAACAAGAUUUUUUAAUAGACAAGUCCUGCAGUAAAGUGAAACAGAGAAAGUAACAAGGAAUAUGGAUCUCUUCUGGAAAGCUUACCUGUAUUUGUCACCAUUAGUAGCAAGUCUAAGAGGCAGGCCCAUGCAGAAGUAGUAAAGAUUUCACAGUAAGCCAGUCCCACAGGGUAGGGAUGGAGGUGAUAGUGGGGACUACUUACUGUUUUUAGAGGUAUCAAAGUGACUGAGAACUGACUAAGAAAAACAACGAAGUAAACAAGCGCUACAGUCUCUGGAACACUCAGACCUUUCCUAGGUAAGUGAAAUUUCAACAGCUGCUAUUGACUAACAGAGGAUAUAACCAACCACAAGGUCCUUUUUCAGUUUGAAGCAUGGCUUUUCUCACUGAAUAAAGCACAAGGUCUGUGGGUUCCUGUGAGGCUAACUGGCAUUCUAUAAGGGCCCAUGCUCACCUUCCGCUUAGGUUCUACAUGGAGCAGCAGGUUGUUGACAAUGUCCAGGAUCAUGGCAUACUGAGCCGGGUUGGUGGAGAUUUCCAGCUCAUGAUGAAUAAGGGUAAAGGUAUCCACAGCCCCUACGUAAUUGUUAGCAGGCAAGUAAGAAACUCAAGGUUCUCUCUAAAUAUCUACCCCAUCUUCUAACCUGUAUUUGGAACCAUUCCUGUUAGUUAACCCCAUAAAACGGAUUAGUGAGAGAUGCUCACGGGAGAAAUAUGUUUGCUUAUUUUAGAAUCAAAUAAUACCCAUUCAUCCCAGUUCCCUCCAAAAAUACAGUUUAUUCUCUUAUAGCAGAACUUACAUUAUGCAGAGCAAAGUGAAACCAUUAAUGCCAGUACACAGUGGGACUUCUAAUAACACUACUGACUUAAAAGCACUAAGAAAGUAACUACUUUCACAAGUUCCCUAGUCCCCUUCUAAAAGCCUUUCAAGCCCUGAAUACCUUCCUGUUUCUUUAGGAGAUCUUCCUUUUCCUGGUUCUCAUGGACCUCAGGUGGUUUAAUCUGAGUUGCCAGCUCAGGAUCAAUGUCAUGGCUGUAACUAAUAUAGUACAUUCGGCAGCUACAGCGUGAAAUGAUCCGCUGGACUUGCUGGGCUUGUUGCGCCUCAGCUGGCUGGUUCCAAUCUGGAAAGAGAUGGGAAAGAGAUAAGAGACAUUCUCAAUAGAGGUACUGUAAGAGCCUUCUGGCUAUGUGUGAUGUCUAGGGAACUCCAGACACUUGUUUUCAACCUAGCCUAACACAAAAUGGUCCUACUCCAGCAUAUGUUAAUCUUAGAGUAUGUAAGAAAAUGCACAUCUGCUCCUAACCACAUGAUGUAGAAUAAGGGAAAGCUGACCUGUGGUGGUGGUAACCAUGCCUCCCACUGCCUGCCCGCUCUCCAUCAGCUCCUGCACAGAAUCCAGACUACGCUGCCGGUGCUCCUCGAUAUUCUUUACCUGAAGACAGAGAUACAGGUACCUUUAACUCCUAGCCAACUGGGUCACAGAUCUCUAUGAUGCAAGUAGUUAUACUUACUAUCCAAACUUCCACUGCCUGGAAUAGCUUGAGGGAUCUCCCAGGGUAGAAGACAUAUAUGACUCUCUCCUGGCCCAAACCACCCAAAUUCUCCAAAGCCAAAUGAGUUAUAUGCACAUUUGCCAGACCUGCAGGCCUGAGGCCAGAAAAGCAAGCUAGGUUAAAAUUAAAUCCUGUCCUACCUCACACCCAUUAGGAUGGCUAUCAAAAAAAAAGAGAAAGUACCAGGUGUUGACAAGGAUGUGCUGAAAUUGGAUCCCUUGUGCACUGCUGGGGGUAUGUCAAAUGGUAUAAUGGUACUGUGGCAAAUAUGUCAAGCACAAUUCCUCAAAAAAUUAAAAAUAGAAUUACUAUAUGA
Molecule: long non-coding RNA, 2561 nt
Organism: Leptonychotes weddellii (Weddell seal)
Lineage: Eukaryota; Metazoa; Chordata; Mammalia; Carnivora; Phocidae
Source: RefSeq, a predicted model, not a curated record